This 465-nucleotide ribosomal RNA is filed under the name uncultured bacterium. RNAcentral's name for it is "partial 16S ribosomal RNA". It matches the Rfam family "Bacterial small subunit ribosomal RNA", at positions 28 to 507 of the family's 1533-position model. The record is from RNAcentral.
GACGAACGCUGGCGGCGUGCUUAACACAUGCAAGUCGAACGGAAAGGCCCUGCUUGCAGGGUACUCGAGUGGCGAACGGGUGAGUAACACGUGGGUGAUCUGCCCUGCACUUCGGGAUAAGCCUGGGAAACUGGGUCUAAUACCGGAUAGGAGCCAUUUUUAGUGUGAUGGUUGGAAAGUUUUUUCGGUGUAGGAUGAGCUCGCGGCCUAUCAGCUUGUUGGUGGGGUAAUGGCCUACCAAGGCGGCGACGGGUAGCCGGCCUGAGAGGGUGGACGGCCACAUUGGGACUGAGAUACGGCCCAGGCUCCUACGGGUGGGAGAAGUGGGAAAUGUUGCCCAAUGGGCGCCAGCCUGAUGCAGAGGCGCCGCGUGGGGGAUAACGGCCUUCGGGUUGUAAACUCCUUUCGCUAGGGACGGAGCUUUUUGUGACGGUACCUAGAUAAGAAGCACCGGCUAACUACGUG